UUCAUCACCUUCGUCAACACAGAGUUCAAUCACAACCGCCUUGUUCGUGCCCGCGGCCCUGAUGCUGUUAAGGGCCUCGAAGAUUUCCAGUUCAAAACCAUCCCAGAUGGCCUGCCAUUUUCCGACAAUGAUGCUACACAGGAUAUACCUUUACUUUCUCAGUCGAUGUCGAAAAAUUGUUUGGCCCCUUUUUUGGAACUCAUAAGGAACCUUAAUGAAUCAUCGAAUUGUCCGAAUGUUAGUUGCAUAGUUUCUGAUGGGGUCAUGAGUUUUACUUUGGAUGCUGCUGACCAGCUCAAUAUUCCUGAAGUGCUGUUUUACACGACAAGUGCUUGUGGGUUCAUGGGGUACCUUCACUA
RNAcentral lists this long non-coding RNA (359 nucleotides) under Olea europaea (common olive). RNAcentral's name for it is "long non-coding RNA (OEUR_LNC001038)". The record is from RNAcentral. Lineage: Eukaryota; Viridiplantae; Streptophyta; Magnoliopsida; Lamiales; Oleaceae.